Saimiri boliviensis boliviensis (Bolivian squirrel monkey) is the source of this 107-nucleotide small nuclear RNA. The record is from Ensembl. NCBI's taxonomy places the organism in Eukaryota, Metazoa, Chordata, Mammalia, Primates, Cebidae.
GUGCUUGGCUCAGCAGCACGCCUGCUCAAAUUGAAAGGAGACAGAGAAGCUUAGCAUGGCCCCUGCACAAGGAUGACAUAUAAAUUUGUGAAGUGUUCCAUAAAAAA